Molecule: transfer RNA, 75 nt
Filed under: Candidatus Woesearchaeota archaeon
Lineage: Archaea; Nanobdellati; Candidatus Woesearchaeota
Description: tRNA-Lys
Rfam family: tRNA
About the family: Transfer RNA (tRNA) molecules are approximately 80 nucleotides in length. Their secondary structure includes four short double-helical elements and three loops (D, anti-codon, and T loops).
Source: RNAcentral
GGGCCCGUAGUUUAACCUGGCUAGAACGCAAGGCUCUUAACCUUGAUGUUGCGGGUUCAAAUCCCGUCGGGCCCA